UUAACGGGAGGCAGCAGUAGGGAAUAUUGCACAAUGGGCGCAAGCCUGAUGCAGCAACGCCGCGUGCGCGAUGAAGGCCUUCGGGUCGUAAAGCGCUUUUCGGGGAGAUGAGGAAGGACAGUAUCCCUGGAAUAAGGAUCGGCUAACUACGUGCCAGCAGCCGCGGUAAU
RNAcentral lists this ribosomal RNA (170 nucleotides) under uncultured bacterium. RNAcentral's name for it is "partial 16S ribosomal RNA". It matches the Rfam family "Bacterial small subunit ribosomal RNA", at positions 338 to 524 of the family's 1533-position model. The record is from RNAcentral.